Molecule: long non-coding RNA, 1860 nt
Organism: Dermacentor albipictus
Lineage: Eukaryota; Metazoa; Arthropoda; Arachnida; Ixodida; Ixodidae
Source: RefSeq, a predicted model, not a curated record
ACAAGCCAAAUGCGCACGCAUAUCUUAUAGGACGAAGAGGGCAGAAAAGGGCUCAAGCAGCGGGGAAAAAAAAAAAGGCAGAUCAAUAUGUAGCAUCUCCGUUUCCGCGGACGGCCGAGGAGAUAACUUCCGCGCGGAAGCACCGCGCUGACAAGACCAGACCGAUCGGCCCUGCCGACAACGCCGAACGUUGCAACGGAUAAGGCGUGGCAAAAUGGAUCGACUGGGCACCAGCCGGUGACAGUCCCACGCCUACCGCGAACUUCCUGUCGGCGAGCGACCGACGGCGCUCGACGGAAAGCGAACACAGCUGCGGGCUACGUGUUGUUAGAUAUGGCGCCGUUUCCUGAGGCUACUUCGAGUUCCCCAGACCACAUCGGAUGGCAGCACAGCUAAUUGAGGAAUGCAGAAGCAGGAAGCGCAUUCCAGAGAAGCGGCCGAGCAAACAAGUUUAAGGCAACAAGUUUACGUGCCAACAAGUUCGUGCGCCGCCGGGAUUAGCAGGUGGGCAUCCGACAAUGAAGCAGGUGCAGCCCUCCCCUUCUCUUUGUUCGAAGUGCAUUGCCAGUCUGCGAUGCAAGACCGCAGCAAGCCGCCAGGUGUGACACCACGACACGGGCGCCUACCAUUGGCUGAAAGUGGCGUCAUCGGAGUGGACUCUCCCAUUGGUGAAACAUGACGUGACUUACAGUGCUCGAAGGGUUUAUAAGAAGCCUUCCAGAGAGACCUGAGCAUUCUGGGACAUGCCCUGAUUCCCUGAUUCACCUCUCUCGAACUUCUUGCCGCGGGCCGCAGCGUCCGAGUUGCUGCCGGCCCGUAAUGUCUGUACGACUGUUAAUUGACGCUCACCUCUCUUGUACAUAAUGUAGAAUAAAUCCCUCCCAAGUUUGGUUUUCAUCCGCGAAGUCCGUCCUCCAACCCCUACAUCUGGUUGGCAGCGGUAGGAUCGCCUCCGAAUGCAUCAGCUGGUGGCAGCGCUACGAAUCAACCUUCGUCGAGAGAGAUCGUAAGGAACCGGGAAGAGCGAAGAAGAGAGAGCCUUCGUCGAAAGAGGUCCGAAGAAACUGGGAGUAGCGAAGAAGGAGCGAGCCUUCGACCCAGGGAGUCCGGAGGAACCGGCAACAGCGGACGAAUGAACCGGAUGGCAGGGUGCUGUAACCGGCCCAGGAUCCCGAGGGUUGUCAAACGUGGCUCGACCCCAGUACCCUGCAGCUUCUUUCAGCGUUCCUCAUGGCCAGCGAAUUGAGUUCACCGGCCAUUCAGAACUACCGGGGCGAGGACGAGCUGUUAGAUAUGGCGCCGUUUCCUGAGGCUACUUCGAGUUCCCCAGACCACAUCGGAUGGCAGCACAGCUAAUUGAGGAAUGCAGAAGCAGGAAGCGCAUUCCAGAGAAGCGGCCGAGCAAACAAGUUUAAGGCAACAAGUUUACGUGCCAACAAGUUCGUGCGCCGCCGGGAUUAGCAGGUGGGCAUCCGACAAUGAAGCAGGUGCAGCCCUCCCCUUCUCUUUGUUCGAAGUGCAUUGCCAGUCUGCGAUGCAAGACCGCAGCAAGCCGCCAGGUGUGACACCACGACACGGGCGCCUACCAUUGGCUGAAAGUGGCGUCAUCGGAGUGGACUCUCCCAUUGGUGAAACAUGACGUGACUUACAGUGCUCGAAGGGUUUAUAAGAAGCCUUCCAGAGAGACCUGAGCAUUCUGGGACAUGCCCUGAUUCCCUGAUUCACCUCUCUCGAACUUCUUGCCGCGGGCCGCAGCGUCCGAGUUGCUGCCGGCCCGUAAUGUCUGUACGACUGUUACUUGACGCUCACGCCUCCCUGUAUAUAAUAUGAGAAUAAAUCCUCCCAAGUUGUUGGUCUUCA